Molecule: non-coding RNA, 73 nt
Organism: Treponema sp. CETP13
Lineage: Bacteria; Pseudomonadati; Spirochaetota; Spirochaetia; Treponematales; Treponemataceae
Source: Rfam
GGCGGUAUAGCUCAGUUGGUAGAGCACUCGGCUCAUAUCCGAACGGUCAUAGGUUCAAGUCCCAUUGCCGCUA